AGACCCGAAACCCGGUGAUCUAGCCAUGGGCAGGUUGAAGGUUGGGUAACACUAACUGGAGGACCGAACCGACUAAUGUUGAAAAAUUAGCGGAUGACCUGUGGCUGGGGGUGAAAGGCCAAUCAAACCGGGAGAUAGCUGGUUCUCCCCGAAAGCUAUUUAGGUAGCGCCUCGUGAAUUCAUCUCCGGGGGUAGAGCACUGUUUCGGCUAGGGGGCCAUCCCGGCUUACCAACCCGAUGCAAACUGCGAAUACCGGAGAAUGUUAUCACGGGAGACACACGGCGGGUGCUAACGUCCGUCGUGAAGAGGGAAACAACCCAGACCGCCAGCUAAGGUCCCAAAGUCAUGGUUAAGUGGGAAACGAUGUGGGAAGGCCCAGACAGCCAGGAUGUUGGCUUAGAAGCAGCCAUCAUUUAAAGAAAGCGUAAUAGCUCACUGGUCGAGUCGGCCUGCGCGGAAGAUGUAACGGGGCUAAACCAUGCACCGAAGCUGCGGCAGCGACGCUGAUGCGUUGUUGGGUAGGGGAGCGUUCUGUAAGCCUGUGAAGGUGGCCUGUGAGGGUUGCUGGAGGUAUCAGAAGUGCGAAUGCUGACAUAAGUAACGAUAAAGCGGGUGAAAAGCCCGCUCGCCGGAAGACCAAGGGUUCCUGUCCAACGUUAAUCGGGGCAGGGUGAGUCGACCCCUAAGGCGAGGCCGAAAGGCGUAGUCGAUGGGAAACGGGUUAAUAUUCCCGUACUUGGUGUUACUGCGAAGGGGGGACGGAGAAGGCUAUGUUGGCCGGGCGACGGUUGUCCCGGUUUAAGCGUGUAGGCUGGUUUUCCAGGCAAAUCCGGAAAAUCAAGGCUGAGGCGUGAUGACGAGGCACUACGGUGCUGAAGCAACAAAUGCCCUGCUUCCAGGAAAAGCCUCUAAGCAUCAGGUAACAUCAAAUCGUACCCCAAACCGACACAGGUGGUCA
This 959-nucleotide ribosomal RNA is filed under the name Salmonella enterica subsp. enterica serovar Senftenberg. RNAcentral describes it as "partial 23S ribosomal RNA". It matches the Rfam family "Bacterial large subunit ribosomal RNA", at positions 711 to 1669 of the family's 2925-position model. Lineage: Bacteria; Pseudomonadati; Pseudomonadota; Gammaproteobacteria; Enterobacterales; Enterobacteriaceae. The record is from RNAcentral.